UGAAACCGUCUAGAGGCAAACGGAGAGGACCGUAUGGUCCGCCCGUCGGAUUCAGUCCGCCUGCGCGGCGCGGGCGUCGGCGGCGCAUCCCUCGUGGGAGCGCCACGGCGUCUCGAUCGUCGUGCGGCGGCCGUACUUUCGGCGGGCGGAGCGCCACGACCGGUUCGCGGGCGGCGAGAAACUCUCGGGCAAGGUGACCUUCGCCUCGGCGCAGGAGCAUACAGGCCCGGCGAGCGCAGGCCCGUCCGCGGACCGAGGAAGACCGUCGCGGAGCGGCGUCGACCGCCCGUCGUGGGCGCGCGUUCGAAUCGGGGGGACUGGUUCCAGUGCCCUCGGACCGCGUGCGUCUAUCGGCGGGACGGCCCGGCGUCGCGCCUGGGGUCGGUGGCGAAACGGCCGGCAACCUGUCCGACCCGUCUUGAAACACGGACCAAGGAGUCUAACAUGUGCGCGAGUCGUUGGGCGUUACGAAACCCGAAGGCGCAAUGAAAGUGAAGGCCCGGUCUCCGGCCGGCCUGGGUGGGAUCCGGACGGUCGCGGCCGUCCGGCGCACCACCGGCCCGUCUCGUUCGCCACGUCGAUGAGGCGGAGCAAGAGCGUACACGUUGGGACCCGAAAGAUGGUGAACUAUGCCUGAGUAGGACGAAGCCAGAGGAAACUCUGGUGGAGGUCCGCAGCGAUUCUGACGUGCAAAUCGAUCGUCAAACUUGGGUAUAGGGGCGAAAGACUAAUCGAACCAUCUAGUAGCUGGUUCCUGUCGAAGUUUCCCUCAGGAUAGCUGGCGCUCGUCGUGAGCAGUUUUAUCCGGUAAAGCGAAUGACUGGAGGCCUUGGGGACGAAACGUCCUCAACCUACUCUCAAACUUUAAAUGGGUAAGACGUCCGACUCGCUCGAUUGGA
RNAcentral lists this ribosomal RNA (899 nucleotides) under Cataladrilus monticola. Its description in RNAcentral is "eukaryotic LSU rRNA". The stretch from base 328 to 899 matches the Rfam family "Eukaryotic large subunit ribosomal RNA", at positions 1 to 1099 of the family's 3401-position model. Lineage: Eukaryota; Metazoa; Annelida; Clitellata; Crassiclitellata; Lumbricidae. The record is from RNAcentral.